RNAcentral lists this unclassified non-coding RNA (216 nucleotides) under Omophoita sexnotata. Lineage: Eukaryota; Metazoa; Arthropoda; Insecta; Coleoptera; Chrysomelidae. The record is from RNAcentral.
CCUGUACGCCCGAUCUCAUUCUGAUUCUCGAAGCCAACCAUGGCAAAGCUAGGGACAUGCUGGAUGGGUGACGGGGUGACGAUCAGCCGCGCUGCAAAAUCUCAUGAGGCCAUCGAUUCAAAAGUCGGCUUGAAGUCACAGCAGGCAAAAGAACUACCGGCAGUUCACCGAUUAUAUAAAAGACAAUACAGCGUGAAUCGAAACCUUCAGUGCUCU